RNAcentral lists this non-coding RNA (483 nucleotides) under Pan troglodytes (chimpanzee). Lineage: Eukaryota; Metazoa; Chordata; Mammalia; Primates; Hominidae. The record is from RNAcentral.
CCUUUCCAACUUUGUUCUUCCGGCCUUGCUGUCUGCCUCCCCGGCUGAUUGGAUUCGUUACUGCUUUGCAACGCGCACCUAACUCCAGCUUGAGGUCCUACCUGGUGUCCUCCAUGAGAAUCACACAAGCCCCGCUACAGACAACAGAAUUGGAAGGUCCUGAGAGCUACCAGAAGCAUCUUCAGUUUUCAUAUGAAAAACUUAAGCCCAGGAGUGAUUUGUGCAGCCAAGGACACACAGCAAGUUAGUGGCUGCACCAGAAAUAGCACUCACUGCCUCAGACAGUCCCUCCCACAGUCUACUCUGUCUCCACCCCAAGGUCUGGUUCUGAAUCAUUCAGUUGUCAGUUGUCUCCUAACUUUUUUUUUUUUUUUUUUUGGAGACAGGGUCUCUCUCUCUGUGGCCCAGGCUGAAGUGCAGUGGUGUGAUUACAGCUCAUGUAGCCUGGACCUCCCAAGCUCAAGCAAUCCUCCUGCCUCUGCC